GGUAACAGUGAUUGAGUUCUUAAAAACCCGUAAUGAUUCUUGCGGAAAUGAUCGCACAGUUCAAAGAACAUCUAAGGGACUGAGUUGUU
Triticum aestivum (bread wheat) is the source of this 89-nucleotide non-coding RNA. NCBI's taxonomy places the organism in Eukaryota, Viridiplantae, Streptophyta, Magnoliopsida, Poales, Poaceae. The record is from Rfam.